Molecule: ribosomal RNA, 427 nt
Filed under: uncultured bacterium
Lineage: Bacteria
Description: partial 16S ribosomal RNA
Rfam family: Bacterial small subunit ribosomal RNA
Source: RNAcentral
UGGGGAAUAUUGGACAAUGGGGGCAACCCUGAUCCAGCCAUGCCGCGUGUGUGAAGAAGGCCUUUUGGUUGUAAAGCACUUUAAGCAGUGAAGAAGACUCCAUGGUUAAUACCCAUGGACGAUGACAUUAGCUGCAGAAUAAGCACCGGCUAACUCUGUGCCAGCAGCCGCGGUAAUACAGAGGGUGCAAGCGUUAAUCGGAAUUACUGGGCGUAAAGCGAGCGUAGGUGGCAUGAUAAGUCAGAUGUGAAAGCCCCGGGCUUAACCUGGGAACGGCAUCUGAUACUGUUAGGCUAGAGUAGGUGAGAGGAAGGUAGAAUUCCAGGUGUAGCGGUGAAAUGCGUAGAGAUCUGGAGGAAUACCGAUGGCGAAGGCAGCCUUCUGGCAUCAUACUGACACUGAGGUUCGAAAGCGUGGGUAGCAAACA